RNAcentral lists this transfer RNA (75 nucleotides) under Mycoplasmataceae bacterium. RNAcentral describes it as "tRNA-Trp". It matches the Rfam family "tRNA". Rfam says of the family: Transfer RNA (tRNA) molecules are approximately 80 nucleotides in length. Lineage: Bacteria; Bacillati; Mycoplasmatota; Mollicutes; Mycoplasmatales; Mycoplasmataceae. The record is from RNAcentral.
GGGGGUGUAGUUCAGCGGUAGAACUUCGGCCUUCAAAUCCGCGUGUCAUGGGUUCAAAUCCUGUCACCCCCGCCA